GCACAUUCCGGCGAGUUCGUGCACGCUGUUUGCUUGAGAGCUUCCUGCGUUUUCUGCGUUCUUUGUGUGCUUCGCUGUGACAUCUUUGGAAUAUUCCUGCGUGUUGCUCGCUUUUUAUGGGCUUGUUGCCUCGAAGAUCGCCAUGAUCGCCUCCGACUCAGCGACAUCAAGGAUUCAAAAUGAGCUGGGAGACACCCAAGCUGGAAUGCUAAGGUUCACAUAGGUUGGAGGAGUGCACAUUGAGAAGGUUAUCCUGGCACAGCUUACCAUGGCCUGCCAUGGUGGACCAGGAAAGUUUGCAAGGGCAUUGCUUCACCAUGUGUUCACAGAGGAGGAGCUCAUGGGCCAUUUGGGCUUUGGAAAUAACACCAAGGGGCAAAAGAGGCUCUUGACCCCAACAGGGUCAGUGCUGUUAUAGGCAAGUACCAUAUAUCCUUUCCGGUUGCAUUUUUACAUUCACAUUUUUUUCUAAAAUUAGCAACUUGCCAUUGGCUAAUAAACUACAUUCAAGUAGCCCGUGUGUGCAGUUGUGUGCUACAAUAGCCUACCAUUUGGAAUGACUGUUCAUAUGAUCUUAAGUGCCUAAUGCCGCCAUACUCAAAUGCUUCUAAAAUUUAAAGGCUGCCUUCACUGCCGAAAGUUUUUAGCGGCUCCACCACAUAAAAUGAGCUGCAUUUGCGCAUUAGCAGUGCUACUUGGCUGUCAUUGCAAGGAAUAGUCUGUGAAGCACGCUCCAAAUCUAUUGGCAUGGAGGACAUGUUUAAGUAGCCUGAAAGUGUUAUUCUAAUACACGAAUUGCGGAGAAGCUAUGCUCAAGUGUGGUUACUGCUCAGCUCGAGCAGGAGCACGUUCACCAAAUUGCAGAAAUCAAAACAGC
This is a long non-coding RNA of Dermacentor andersoni, 877 nucleotides long. RefSeq lists it as uncharacterized. NCBI's taxonomy places the organism in Eukaryota, Metazoa, Arthropoda, Arachnida, Ixodida, Ixodidae. The record is from RefSeq and is a predicted model, not a curated record.